This 378-nucleotide ribosomal RNA is filed under the name uncultured soil bacterium. Its description in RNAcentral is "bacterial SSU rRNA". It matches the Rfam family "Bacterial small subunit ribosomal RNA", at positions 26 to 431 of the family's 1533-position model. The record is from RNAcentral.
AGAACGAACGCUGGCGGCAUGCCUAAUACAUGCAAGUCGAACGAACACUUCGGUGUUAGUGGCGCACGGGUGCGUAACGCGUGGGAAUCUGCCCUUGGGUUCGGAAUAACAGUUGGAAACGACUGCUAAUACCGGAUGAUAUCGAAAGAUCAAAGAUUUAUCGCCCAGGGAUGAGCCCGCGUAGGAUUAGCUAGUUGGUGAGGUAAAGGCUCACCAAGGCGACGAUCCUUAGCUGGUCUGAGAGGAUGAUCAGCCACACUGGGACUGAGACACGGCCCAGACUCCUACGGGAGGCAGCAGUAGGGAAUAUUGGACAAUGGGCGCAAGCCUGAUCCAGCAAUGCCGCGUGAGUGAUGAAGGCCUUAAGGGUCGUAAAGC